GGCGGCGAUGGGCAAGUGGUUUUAUCUCCUUUAAUUUUAAAAAACUUUUUUCGGUUCAAUUCCGAACGCCGCCC
This 74-nucleotide transfer RNA is filed under the name Streptococcus pneumoniae. RNAcentral's name for it is "tRNA-Lys(ttt)". The record is from RNAcentral. Lineage: Bacteria; Bacillati; Bacillota; Bacilli; Lactobacillales; Streptococcaceae.